Molecule: unclassified non-coding RNA, 286 nt
Filed under: Paraglomus occultum
Lineage: Eukaryota; Fungi; Glomeromycota; Glomeromycetes; Paraglomerales; Paraglomeraceae
Description: partial contains 5.8S ribosomal RNA and internal transcribed spacer 2
Source: RNAcentral
GUGAAUCAUCGAAUCUUUGAACGCAAAUUGCGCCUUUUUCGGAAGGCAUGUCCGUUUGUGGGCACCAUUUAUCAAAUACUGUGAAGCGUUUUUUGUUGCACACGUUGAUGAGCUUUGCAAGAAUUUUAAAUCUUUGGUGGCGCAUAAUGAGCAGCGUGGAAGUUUUUUUUAGUUCGAGUGUAGUAAAAUCUUUGCUUGGGUUGUGAAAAAACAUAAUCGCGCCAUGGGUGUGGCAAUUUCUUUGUAUCCCUGCCCCUAUGCCACUCUUUCUCACGGAAGUAUGUCU